This 492-nucleotide ribosomal RNA is filed under the name uncultured bacterium. RNAcentral's name for it is "partial 16S ribosomal RNA". It matches the Rfam family "Bacterial small subunit ribosomal RNA", at positions 29 to 507 of the family's 1533-position model. The record is from RNAcentral.
AGUGAACGCUGGCGGUAGGCCUAACACAUGCAAGUCGAACGGCAGCACAGUAAGAGCUUGCUCUUACGGGUGGCGAGUGGCGGACGGGUGAGGAAUACAUCGGAAUCUACUUUUUCGUGGGGGAUAACGUUGGGAAACUUACGCUAAUACCGCAUACGACCUACGGGUGAAAGCAGGGGAUCUUCGGACCUUGCGCGAUUGAAUGAGCCGAUGUCGGAUUAGCUAGUUGGCGGGGUAAAGGCCCACCAAGGCGACGAUCCGUAGCCGGUCUGAGAGGAUGAUCAGCCACACUGGAACUGAGACACGGUCCAGACUCCUACGGGAGGCAGCAGUGGGGAAUAUUGGACAAUGGGCGCAAGCCUGAUCCAGCCAUACCGCGUGGGUGAAGAAGGCCUUCGGGUUGUAAAGCCCUUUUGUUGGGAAAGAAAAGCAGCAGGUUAAUACCCCGCUGUUCUGACGGUACCCAAAGAAUAAGCACCGGCUAACUUCGUG